This 235-nucleotide ribosomal RNA is filed under the name Streptomyces sp. SID1328. RNAcentral's name for it is "partial 23S ribosomal RNA". It matches the Rfam family "Bacterial large subunit ribosomal RNA", at positions 2697 to 2925 of the family's 2925-position model. The record is from RNAcentral. Lineage: Bacteria; Bacillati; Actinomycetota; Actinomycetes; Kitasatosporales; Streptomycetaceae.
ACGGACGAACCUCUGGUGUGCCAGUUGUCCUGCCAAGGGCAUGGCUGGUUGGCUACGUUCGGGAGGGAUAACCGCUGAAAGCAUCUAAGCGGGAAGCCUGCUUCGAGAUGAGUAUUCCCACCUCCUUGAGAGGGUAAGGCUCCCAGUAGACGACUGGGUUGAUAGGCCAGAUAUGGAAGCCUGGUAACGGGUGGAGUUGACUGGUACUAAUAGACCGAGGGCUUGUCCUCAGUUG